UACAUACUGUGCGAACGUUAUUCGGAUUCACUGGGCUUAAAGGGUGCGUAGGCGGCUUGUUAAGUAGGGUGUGAAAGCCCCCAGCUCAACUGGGGAACUGCACUCUAUACUGGCGAGCUGGAGUGAGAUAGGGGUGUGUGGAACUGCCAGUGGAGCGGUGAAAUGUGUUGAUAUUGGCAGGAACGCCGGUGGCGAAAGCGACACACUGGGUCUCAACUGACGCUGAGGCACGAAAGCCAGGGGAGCGAACGGG
This 253-nucleotide ribosomal RNA is filed under the name uncultured bacterium. Its description in RNAcentral is "partial 16S ribosomal RNA". It matches the Rfam family "Bacterial small subunit ribosomal RNA", at positions 524 to 776 of the family's 1533-position model. RNAcentral also lists the same sequence under 3 other names. The record is from RNAcentral.